Molecule: ribosomal RNA, 709 nt
Filed under: Pseudomonas aeruginosa
Lineage: Bacteria; Pseudomonadati; Pseudomonadota; Gammaproteobacteria; Pseudomonadales; Pseudomonadaceae
Description: bacterial SSU rRNA
Rfam family: Bacterial small subunit ribosomal RNA
Source: RNAcentral
GAACUGAAGAGUUUGAUCAUGGCUCAGAUUGAACGCUGGCGGCAGGCCUAACACAUGCAAGUCGAGCGGAUGAAGGGAGCUUGCUCCUGGAUUCAGCGGCGGACGGGUGAGUAAUGCCUAGGAAUCUGCCUGGUAGUGGGGGAUAACGUCCGGAAACGGGCGCUAAUACCGCAUACGUCCUGAGGGAGAAAGUGGGGGAUCUUCGGACCUCACGCUAUCAGAUGAGCCUAGGUCGGAUUAGCUAGUUGGUGGGGUAAAGGCCUACCAAGGCGACGAUCCGUAACUGGUCUGAGAGGAUGAUCAGUCACACUGGAACUGAGACACGGUCCAGACUCCUACGGGAGGCAGCAGUGGGGAAUAUUGGACAAUGGGCGAAAGCCUGAUCCAGCCAUGCCGCGUGUGUGAAGAAGGUCUUCGGAUUGUAAAGCACUUUAAGUUGGGAGGAAGGGCAGUAAGUUAAUACCUUGCUGUUUUGACGUUACCAACAGAAUAAGCACCGGCUAACUUCGUGCCAGCAGCCGCGGUAAUACGAAGGGUGCAAGCGUUAAUCGGAAUUACUGGGCGUAAAGCGCGCGUAGGUGGUUCAGCAAGUUGGAUGUGAAAUCCCCGGGCUCAACCUGGGAACUGCAUCCAAAACUACUGAGCUAGAGUACGGUAGAGGGUGGUGGAAUUUCCUGUGUAGCGGUGAAAUGCGUAGAUAUAGGAAGGA